RNAcentral lists this ribosomal RNA (530 nucleotides) under Nocardia niigatensis. Its description in RNAcentral is "bacterial SSU rRNA". It matches the Rfam family "Bacterial small subunit ribosomal RNA", at positions 31 to 578 of the family's 1533-position model. Lineage: Bacteria; Bacillati; Actinomycetota; Actinomycetes; Mycobacteriales; Nocardiaceae. The record is from RNAcentral.
GAACGCUGGCGGCGUGCUUAACACAUGCAAGUCGAGCGGUAAGGCCCUUCGGGGUACACGAGCGGCGAACGGGUGAGUAACACGUGGGUGAUCUGCCUUGCACUCUGGGAUAAGCCUGGGAAACUGGGUCUAAUACCGGAUAUGAGCCUGGACUGCAUGGUCCGGGUUGGAAAGGUUUACUGGUGCGAGAUGGGCCCGCGGCCUAUCAGCUUGUUGGUGAGGUAACGGCUCACCAAGGCGACGACGGGUAGCCGACCUGAGAGGGUGACCGGCCACACUGGGACUGAGACACGGCCCAGACUCCUACGGGAGGCAGCAGUGGGGAAUAUUGCACAAUGGGCGCAAGCCUGAUGCAGCGACGCCGCGUGAGGGAUGACGGCCUUCGGGUUGUAAACCUCUUUUGACAGGGACGAAGCGCAAGUGACGGUACCUGUAGAAGAAGCACCGGCCAACUACGUGCCAGCAGCCGCGGUAAUACGUAGGGUGCGAGCGUUGUCCGGAAUUACUGGGCGUAAAGAGCUUGUAGGCGG